RNAcentral lists this ribosomal RNA (253 nucleotides) under uncultured bacterium. Its description in RNAcentral is "partial 16S ribosomal RNA". It matches the Rfam family "Bacterial small subunit ribosomal RNA", at positions 524 to 776 of the family's 1533-position model. The record is from RNAcentral.
UACAGAGGGUGCGAGCGUUAAUCGGAAUUACUGGGCGUAAAGCGCGCGUAGGCGGCUUUGCAAGUCGGGUGUGAAAUCCCCAGGCUUAACCUGGGAACUGCAUUCGAGACUGCAUUGCUAGAGUAUGGGAGAGGGAAGUGGAAUUUCCGGUGUAGCGGUGAAAUGCGUAGAUAUCGGAAGGAACAUCAGUGGCGAAGGCGGCCUUCUGGACGGUGACUGACGCUGAGAUGCGAAAGCGUGGGGAGCAAACAGG